This 468-nucleotide ribosomal RNA is filed under the name uncultured bacterium. Its description in RNAcentral is "partial 16S ribosomal RNA". It matches the Rfam family "Bacterial small subunit ribosomal RNA", at positions 28 to 507 of the family's 1533-position model. The record is from RNAcentral.
GACGAACGCUGGCGGCGUGCUUAACACAUGCAAGUCGAACGGUGAAGCUCCAGCUUGCUGGAGUGGAUCAGUGGCGAACGGGUGAGUAACACGUGAGCAACCUGCCCCUGACUCUGGAAUAAGCGCUGGAAACGGCGUCUAAUACUGGAUACGAGAAGGGUCCGCAUGGGCACUUUCUGGAAAGUCUUUCGGUUGGGGAUGGGCUCGCGGCCUAUCAGCUUGUUGGUGAGGUAAUGGCUCACCAAGGCGACGACGGGUAGCCGGCCUGAGAGGGCGACCGGCCACACUGGGACUGAGACACGGCCCAGACUCCUACGGGAGGCAGCAGUGGGGAAUAUUGCACAAUGGGCGAAAGCCUGAUGCAGCGACGCCGCGUGAGGGAUGACGGCCUUCGGGUUGUAAACCUCUUUCAGCAGGGAAGAAGCGAAAGUGACGGUACCUGCAGAAGAAGCACCGGCUAACUACGUG